This is a long non-coding RNA of Pygoscelis adeliae (Adelie penguin), 516 nucleotides long. RefSeq lists it as uncharacterized. The transcript has 4 exons. The record is from RefSeq and is a predicted model, not a curated record. NCBI's taxonomy places the organism in Eukaryota, Metazoa, Chordata, Aves, Sphenisciformes, Spheniscidae.
AGUAGCAGAAAUAUCUCACUGGUGGCAUUGCCCGAGGAGACUGGAGUAGGAACGGUUUCAAACUGAGCCGGCGUGGAUCUGUUUUUGUUGUCUCACUGGAAGAAACUACCAGCUCUCACCACAGCCACAGCCCUCCAAGACAUCUUCCUGUGGAACCAACUGCUAGGACCAACCUGAGACUUGCAGGUACAGCAAUGGAGAACUUGAAUGUCCCAUUCCCAGAUCUGACUGAAGAACAGCAAGACAUUUUCCAGAGGGUUUUUACUGCUGAUGCCAAUUACUUGGAGAAUCACGAGAAAAUGAACCAGUCCUUCUGGGAAUCACUUGUAAAAUGUUUAGCCACUACUGACCCACCUAUCCUGAAUACUGAAGAAAAGAACAAUCUCCUCAACAGCUGCAAUGCCCUGCCUGGAGGCUGUGCAGCCUGCCUGAAAGCCAUAGAGAAGGAAGGAGUCAGGGCAAUGGCUGUUCUUUACCUCUUGCUGAAGACAACCAACCCAUCUGGAUAUAGGCAGC